GCGGGCGUAGCUCAGUUGGUUAGAGUGCCGGCCUGUCACGCCGGAGGUCGCGGGUUCGAGUCC
RNAcentral lists this transfer RNA (63 nucleotides) under Methylobacterium sp. Leaf86. Its description in RNAcentral is "tRNA-Asp". It matches the Rfam family "tRNA", at positions 1 to 60 of the family's 71-position model. Rfam says of the family: Transfer RNA (tRNA) molecules are approximately 80 nucleotides in length. The record is from RNAcentral. Lineage: Bacteria; Pseudomonadati; Pseudomonadota; Alphaproteobacteria; Hyphomicrobiales; Methylobacteriaceae.